Glycine max (soybean) is the source of this 120-nucleotide non-coding RNA. The record is from Rfam. Lineage: Eukaryota; Viridiplantae; Streptophyta; Magnoliopsida; Fabales; Fabaceae.
UUUUUAUUGGAUGAUGACUGUUACGUGUUAUGUCCUGAUUAGAUGUCAAUUCCAUGAAAGAUGAAAUGAAUUGUUAUUUUCAUUAACCAAUCAGAACAUAACACGUGGCAAUCACUAUCC